UGAGUACGAGACGCUAAGGCGUCGAAGUAGUGUAUGUCAUACUUCCAAGAAAAGCUUGCACUAUCAUAGAUAAAAAACGCCUGUACCAUAACCGACACAGGUGGGUAGGUAGAGUAUACUAAGGGGCGCGAGAUAACUCUCUCUAAGGAACUCGGCAAAAUAACUCCGUAACUUCGGGAGAAGGAGUGCCUUAUUAUUAAGGUUGCAAUAACAAGAUCCAAGCAACUGUUUAUCAAAAACACAGGUCUCCGCUAAGUCGUAAGACGAUGUAUGGGGGCUGACGCCUGCCCAGUGCCAGAAGGUUAAAGAAGUUGGUUAGCAAUUGCGAAGCUGAUAACUGAAGCCCUGGUGAACGGCGGCCGUAACUAUAACGGUCCUAAGGUAGGGAAAUUCCUUGUCGGGUAAGUUCCGACCCGCACGAAAGGCGUAAUGAUUUGGAUACUGUCUCGGAGAGGGGCUCGGUGAAAUAGACUUGUCUGUGAAGAUGCGGACUACCUGCACCAGGACAGAAAGACCCUAUGAAGCUUUACUGUAACUUGAAAUUGGAAUUGGACUUUAUUCGCGCAGUAUAGGUGGGAGGCGUUGAUUAUAAUCUUGCGGGAUUAUUGGAGCCAUCAGUGAGAUACCACUCUUGUAAUGUUAGAUUUCUAACUUUGAAUCAUUAUCUGGUCAAAGAACAGUUUCAGGCGGGCAGUUUGACUGGGGCGGUCGCCUCCUAAACGGUAACGGAGGCGUACAAAGGUUUCCUCUGAACGGUUAGAAAUCGUAUCUAGAGUGUAAAGGCAUAAGGAAGCUUGACUGUGAGACCUACAAGUCGAGCAGGGACGAAAGUCGGUCUUAGUGAUCUGACGGUACUGAGUGGAAAGGCCGUCACUCAACGGAUAAAAGUUACUCUAGGGAUAACAGGCUGAUCUCCCCCAAGAGUUCACAUCGACGGGGAGGUUUGGCACCUCGAUGUCGGCUCAUCGCAUCCUGGGGCGGUAGUACGUCCCAAGGGUUGGGCUGUUCGCCCAUGAAAGCGGUACGCGAGCUGGGUUCAGAGCGUCGUGAGACAGUUCGGUCCAUAUCCGGUGUAGGCGUUAGAAUAUUGAGAGGAGCCUUCUUUAGUACGAGAGGACCGAGAAGGACAUACCUCUGGUGUACCAGUUAUCGUGCCAACGGUAAACGCUGGGUAGCUAUGUAUGGAGUGGAUAACCGCUGAAAGCAUCUAAGUGGGAAGCCCACCUCAAGAUAAGUAUUCU
This 1241-nucleotide ribosomal RNA is filed under the name metagenome. RNAcentral describes it as "bacterial LSU rRNA". It matches the Rfam family "Bacterial large subunit ribosomal RNA", at positions 1564 to 2814 of the family's 2925-position model. The record is from RNAcentral.